GCACCAUAAGAACUUCUCCAAAGGUACUAAAAUACUCUUUCAGGUCCUGUUCGGUUGUUUUCCAUGGGAGACCCAACACUAUUAAAUCGGAUGUUUUCUGGACUGCUCUUUUCACUUUCACUGCUGAUGAAGCAUCUGUCUCAUCCAUUUUUCUUUUGUUAUCUUUUGGAUAGUUGACAACAUACACCAGAUUUCCCCAGCCAGCAUCUGGGGCAUGCAGAAUUCCUUCUACCAGCCGGACACCUCUCAUACACUGAGACACUGGAUUCCUGUAGCGAAGCCCACACGCCCCUGGAAACUGGGCUGUAACCGUGGAGAGCAGCACCGUCCCAUCGUCUUCCGAUGGUAUUUCAAUGGGCUCAUCGUUCUCAUCUUCGGUUACCCGAAUAUAUUCAGACAUCUUUUAC
This 407-nucleotide long non-coding RNA is filed under the name Homo sapiens (human). Its description in RNAcentral is "LNC_000266". The record is from RNAcentral. Lineage: Eukaryota; Metazoa; Chordata; Mammalia; Primates; Hominidae.